GUAGGGAAUAUUGGACAAUGGGCGAAAGCCUGAUCCAGCCAUGCCGCGUGUGUGAAGAAGGUCUUCGGAUUGUAAAGCACUUUAAGUUGGGAGGAAGGGCAGUAAGUUAAUACCUUGCUGUUUUGACGUUACCGACAGAAUAAGCACCGGCUAACUUCGUGCCAGCAGCCGCGGUAAUACGAAGGGUGCAAGCGUUAAUCGGAAUUACUGGGCGUAAAGCGCGCGUAGGUGGUUUUGUAAGUUGGAGUUGAAAUCCCCGGGCUCAACCUGGGAACUGCCUCCAAAACUGCAUGACUAGAGUACGGUAGAGGGUAGUGGAAUUUCCUGUGUAGCGGUGAAAUGCGUAGAUAUAGGAAGGAACACCAGUGGCGAAGGCGACUACCUGGACUGAUACUGACACUGAGGUGCGAAAGCGUGGGGAGCAAACAGGAUUAGAUACCCCUGUAGUCC
RNAcentral lists this ribosomal RNA (450 nucleotides) under uncultured bacterium. RNAcentral describes it as "bacterial SSU rRNA". It matches the Rfam family "Bacterial small subunit ribosomal RNA", at positions 354 to 796 of the family's 1533-position model. The record is from RNAcentral.